Molecule: ribosomal RNA, 517 nt
Filed under: uncultured bacterium
Lineage: Bacteria
Description: bacterial SSU rRNA
Rfam family: Bacterial small subunit ribosomal RNA
Source: RNAcentral
AGAGUUGAUCAUGGCUCAGGAUGAACGCUAGCGACAGGCUAACACAUGCAAGUCGAGGGGCAGCACGGGAGUAGCAAUACAACUGGUGGCGACCGGCGCACGGGUGAGUAACGCGUAUGCAACCUACCUAUCAGGAGGGGAAUAACCCGGCGAAAGUCGGACUAAUACCGCAUAAAACAGGGGCACCGCAUGGUGAUAUUUGUUAAAGAAAUUCGCUGAUAGAUGGGCAUGCGUUCCAUUAGGUAGUUGGUGAGGUAACGGCUCACCAAGCCGACGAUGGAUAGGGGAACUGAGAGGUUGGUCCCCCACACUGGUACUGAGACACGGACCAGACUCCUACGGGAGGCAGCAGUGAGGAAUAUUGGUCAAUGGGCGAGAGCCUGAACCAGCCAAGUCGCGUGAAGGAAGAAGGAUCUAUGGUUCGUAAACUUCUUUGCAGGGGAAUAAAGUGCAGGACGUGUCCUGUUUUGUAUGUACCCUGAGAAUAAGGAUCGGCUAACUCCGUGCCAGCCGCCGC